UACAGAGGGUGCAAGCGUUAAUCGGAAUUACUGGGCGUAAAGCGUGCGUAGACGGUUAUUUAAGUCAGGUGUGAAAGCCCCGGGCUCAACCUGGGAAUUGCAUUUGAGACUGAAUAGCUAGGGUGCGGAAGAAGGAAGCGGAAUUUCCGGUGUAGCGGUGAAAUGCGUAGAUAUCGGAAGGAACACCAGUGGCGAAAGCGGCUUCCUGGUCCAGCACCGACGUUCAGGCACGAAAGCGUGGGGAGCAAACAGG
This 253-nucleotide ribosomal RNA is filed under the name uncultured bacterium. RNAcentral's name for it is "partial 16S ribosomal RNA". It matches the Rfam family "Bacterial small subunit ribosomal RNA", at positions 524 to 776 of the family's 1533-position model. The record is from RNAcentral.